GGAGAAGAUGGCAGGACUCGGAGGAGCUUUAGAAAAGCAAGCACAUUAAAAAUAAAUUAAUUUAGGACUUUUCAGAAAAAACUUCUCUAUGCAGUAGUGAGCAAGGCGGAUGUGUUAAAGGUGCGAGCUUGUAUUGCCAACACUCCCUGAAGGCCACAUAAUCAUUGAGACCUUCUUAUGGACGCGCGGAUGGCCUCCCGAUUCAUGGAGGGAGAUCUCCACAAACGUCGGAGAGGUGCACAAAGUUGUGGAGGAAAAUAUGGGACAAAUGUGCAUGCGCGGCACCCGUGAAUUCUUUAGCGAAAAUCCCUAAACCAAAACCCAUUCAUUCUCUAUGUUAGUGCUAAACCACUACGGAUGUAAUAUAUCUUUGGCCACCGGUGGCGCUGUUGUGCGGACCGAGCGUGUACCCGGAUGUAAAGCGUUUCUCCGGACAUUCUCCGUCAGUCUACCCGGGAAAGAGCACCGAAGCGACAGUCCACCUCUGUCGGACCUCGCGCUGUGAGGAAGUCACUAAACAAUGCUGACUCAAGCCUCUGUUGAGAAGAUUGCACUCGACAUCAUGGAAAAGCAGCAGGAACAACAACAACCACCGAGGCAAAAGAAGGGACACACGAAAAGGUGUCUUUCCUGUGGCCAGCCAAAGUCUAGGUAUGAAAAUGAUGGUUCUUCAAUCCACUUCUUCUACCAGCAGGGCCCGGUCCGAUACUUCUACUGCUCCGCUAAAGUUUUUAAAACUUAUGGUGCUGAAGGUCUGACAAACCCCAAAAUGCCUUUUGUAGACUUUACUGAGACAGUUCUCUCAGCUAGAACUGGAUGCCACACAGAAAAGGGUGGCAGAGAAAGGACCGCAGAAGAGGAAAAGAACUGAUUGCCAGUCCGCAGGUCGCAAGUGUCUGUUCUGUAAGAUGGAACUGAAGCAGGGCCCAAACAGUCGUCACAUUCACACUGGGUUCCCUGGAGUAACAGGGAAGUACAUUUUCUG
Gasterosteus aculeatus aculeatus (three-spined stickleback) is the source of this 985-nucleotide long non-coding RNA. NCBI's taxonomy places the organism in Eukaryota, Metazoa, Chordata, Actinopteri, Perciformes, Gasterosteidae. The record is from Ensembl.